CCUACGGGAGGCUGCAGUGAGGAAUAUUGGUCAAUGGGCGCAAGCCUGAACCAGCCAUCCCGCGUGCAGGAUGAAGGCCCUAUGGGUCGUAAACUGCUUUUAUACACCAAGAAAAACACCCACGUGUGGGUGCCCGACGGUAGUGUAUGAAUAAGCAUCGGCUAACUCCGUGCCAGCAGCCGCGGUAAUACGGAGGAUGCAAGCGUUAUCCGGAUUCAUUGGG
This 223-nucleotide ribosomal RNA is filed under the name Weissella confusa. Its description in RNAcentral is "partial 16S ribosomal RNA". It matches the Rfam family "Bacterial small subunit ribosomal RNA", at positions 338 to 558 of the family's 1533-position model. The record is from RNAcentral. Lineage: Bacteria; Bacillati; Bacillota; Bacilli; Lactobacillales; Lactobacillaceae.